Molecule: transfer RNA, 67 nt
Filed under: Simocephalus vetulus
Lineage: Eukaryota; Metazoa; Arthropoda; Branchiopoda; Diplostraca; Daphniidae
Description: tRNA-Leu
Rfam family: tRNA
About the family: Transfer RNA (tRNA) molecules are approximately 80 nucleotides in length. Their secondary structure includes four short double-helical elements and three loops (D, anti-codon, and T loops). Further hydrogen bonds mediate the characteristic L-shaped molecular structure. tRNAs have two regions of fundamental functional importance: the anti-codon, which is responsible for specific mRNA codon recognition, and the 3' end, to which the tRNAs corresponding amino acid is attached (by aminoacyl-tRNA synthetases). tRNAs cope with the degeneracy of the genetic code in two manners: having more than one tRNA (with a specific anti-codon) for a particular amino acid; and 'wobble' base-pairing, i.e. permitting non-standard base-pairing at the 3rd anti-codon position.
Source: RNAcentral
GUCAGUCUGACAGAUAAUGUACUAGACUUAGGAUCUACCUAUGUAGGUGUCAAUCCUACGGCUGAUU